GGAGGCAGCAGUGGGGAAUUUUCCGCAAUGGGCGCAAGCCUGACGGAGCAACGCCGCGUGAGGGACGAAGGCCUCUGGGCUGUAAACCUCUUUUCUCAAGGAAGAAGACAUGACGGUACUUGAGGAAUAAGCCACGGCUAAUUCCGUGCCAGCAGCCGCGGUAAUACGGGAGUGGCAAGCGUUAUCCGGAAUUAUUGGGCGUAAAGCGUCCGCAGGCGGCCUUGAAAGUCUGUUGUUAAAGCGUGGAGCUCAACUCCAUUUCAGCAAUGGAAACUACAAGGCUAGAGUGUGGUAGGGGCAGAGGGAAUUCCCGGUGUAGCGGUGAAAUGCGUAGAUAUCGGGAAGAACACCAGUGGCGAAGGCGCUCUGCUGGGCCAUAACUGACGCUCAUGGACGAAAGCCAGGGGAGCGAAAGGGAUUAGAUACCCCUGUAGUCCUGGCCGUAAACGAUGAACACUAGGUGUCGGGAGAAUUAACC
This 478-nucleotide ribosomal RNA is filed under the name Synechococcus sp. RNAcentral describes it as "bacterial SSU rRNA". It matches the Rfam family "Bacterial small subunit ribosomal RNA", at positions 344 to 837 of the family's 1533-position model. The record is from RNAcentral. Lineage: Bacteria; Bacillati; Cyanobacteriota; Cyanophyceae; Synechococcales; Synechococcaceae.